Molecule: RNA transcript, 2827 nt
Organism: Xenia sp. Carnegie-2017
Lineage: Eukaryota; Metazoa; Cnidaria; Anthozoa; Malacalcyonacea; Xeniidae
Gene name: echinoderm microtubule-associated protein-like 2
Exons: 24
Source: RefSeq, a predicted model, not a curated record
AAAUGAAAUGGUUGCCACCAUUGUCAAACUCACUCACUAACUUGCUUGUGGUUAUCGUCGUCGAGCUGGUGGUUGUGAGUUACAAACCACAAUAUUCUCAGAAGUAAUAUCCCUUUCAUGAUUGAGUAUACUUUGUGUUAAAUUACAGAUAAACAAUGGAUGAAACUAAUCCAGAAGAUAUACCAGAUACCAGAAUGAUUUUUGUAUAUGUUUCUAAACUUGAAAAGUUCGUUAAACAACAAGGAGACGAAAUUGUCUUGCUCAAGUCCGCAUUAGCGGAAGCUUUGAGAAGAAUACGAGUUUUAGAAGAGAAGACCCUCGUCUUGUUAGCUACUCCAAGAUCUAAGAGGGUUAUAACUACUCCCAGACUUAAUGCUGGGUCAGCUUCUGGAGACAAUACCUCUGGCACAUCAACGAGACCCCGACAAUCUUCAUCUCAGUCAUUGUCAAAGAAGCCCUUGUCAGCGAAAAGAAAAACUAGCCUCAGUGGCUUAGCAAUUAAGGAAGAGCCUGAAGAAAGAGAUUCUGCUUUUGAAAAAUUUCAACUCAGGGGUAGAACCAUAAACUUUUAUGCGUGGAAUGGUUACAACGAAUCAUAUUACACUGGUGAAGCUCCAAAUGUGAAACUGCAGCUUGAAUGGGUACAUGGUUAUCGUGGAAAGGACAGUCGUAACAACUUGUACUUUCUACCAUCUAAUGAAGUAAUGUACACCACGGCUGCAGUCGUUGUAAUUUAUGAUUUUAUUACAAAGUCUCAACGACAUUAUACUGAACAUACAGACGAUGUGAAAUGCCUUGCUCUACAUCCAAACAAAGACAUUGCCGCUAGUGGUCAGGUUGCUGGUCAUGCUAAAAAGGAGGGAAAGCCUCACGUUCGAGUGUGGAGAAUUGAUUCCUUAGAAACGUUAAAAGUCGUUGGUUUAGGUUCGUUUCAAAGAGGAUUGUCUUGCAUUGCAUUCUCUGUUGAGGAUAAAGGGGUUAAUAUUGUGUGUGUUGAUGAUGGAAAUGAUCAUUGUAUAACUGUUUGGGAUUGGGAAAACAAAAAGAAAAUAUCUGAAGCAAAGGGUGGUAGCGAGCCUGUAUUGGCCGUCGAUUUUUACCCCAAGGACUCGAAGCGUCUGGUCACGUGUGGCAAGUCUCACAUCGCAUUUUGGAAACUAAAUGGUGACAAUAAAUUGGAAAAGAGAUUGGGUGUUUUUGAGAGGCACUCCAAACCCAAGUACGUGUUAUGUUUUGCUUUUGGUCAGAAUAGUGAAGUAAUUACUGGCGACUCUAAUGGAAACAUUUUCAUUUGGUCAAGUGAGAAAAACCAAACCACUUACGAGAUUAUUGCUGCACACGAGGGACCUAUUUUCUCGAUCGAAACUUCUCAAGAUGGAAUGUUCUUGUCUGGUGGUGGAAGAGAUAGGAAAAUCUACUUGUGGGACUGUAAUUAUAACCAAUCUGAAAAGCAACUUGAGAUUCCCGAAGAGUGUGGGGCUGUGAGAUCCGUGAUAUUUGGUCCAAAACUUAGUGAAGAAAUAUGUGUUCUGAUCGGAACAACAAAGAAUUGCUUGCUGCAAGGAAAAUUGGAGAACGAAAAAAAUCAAUUUACUUUUCUCACCCAGGGUCAUUCCGAAGAAACUUGGGGUCUUUGCGUUCAUCCUACGAAGCCAGUUUAUGUUACAUGCGGUUAUGAUAAAAUGCUGUACAUGUGGAGUGCAGAGACAAGAUGUUUGCUUUGGUCAAAGCAACUCGAGGAUCCCCUUCAAUCAGUUUGCUUUCAUCCUAAUGGCAACAUUCUAGCAGUUGCCACACAGAACAGUAAAUUUAAAGCUUUAGACGCUGAAAGUGGUGUAGAGUUCUUCACUUGUGUUGUUGGCUCCGAGCAACAUGAUUGCGUCCAAUUUUCUCCAGAUGGCUGCUAUUUGGCGAUUGGUUCGCAUGAUAAUUUCAUCUACGUGUUUGCGGUGACUGAGAACGGUAAAAACUACAAGAAAUAUAUCCGUUUUUCCGGUCAUUCCAGUUAUAUCACUCAUUUUGAUUGGUCAAAAGAUAGCCAAUUUAUUCAAAGUAAUUCUGGUGAUUACGAAAUGCUUUAUUGGGAUGUUAAUGAGUGUAAACAAGUGUCGUCGUCAUUUUCUAUGAGAGACACGGAGUGGGACAGUUGGUCUUGCGUUCUAGGGCUCCCUGUGAGAGGAAUGUGGCCUGAAGGCGCAGAUGGGACUGAUAUCAAUUCUUGUAUAAGAUCACAUGAUAAACAAUAUCUUGUUAGUGGGGAUGAUUUUGGAUGCUUGAAUAUAUUUUCUUACCCAUGUCCAAAAUUAAAGUCGAUUCCCAACAUUGCCCGCGGUCACAGCUCACACGUCACAGCGGUUAGAUUCCUAGUCAAGGAUUCCCAUCUUAUUAGCACAGGAGGAAAAGACAAUACCGUCAUGCAAUGGAAACUUGAGAGCUAAAGAAACUGCUGCUUUUAUGAAGUUGAUUUUUGUCCCAUCCACGAUUGUUUACUGACGCAUUUUUCAAACUAUCGCGAAUGAAAUUACUAGAGGAUUUGAACUUAAAAGAAGCAUUUUUUGGAAUAGAUGAUGGGAGCUGAGUUGCUUCUCAAAGGAGUUAAUACAUAUGUAGUCAUUUGGCAUGAGAACUAACAUAGAUUGUUUACAUGCUUUUGCUAAGGAAAUAUUACCUCCAAAACCUCCUCUUGGACUUUGGCAUUUAAUUAGGAAUUCUGCCACACUAAUGAAUUAAAGUCAAAGGAAUUCAAAAUAAAUAAAUCCAUGAGUAUCAAGGAGGAAGAAUUUACAUAUAUCAAAAAAUAAAUUGUAUCCUACUUUUUUGCUAUAAA